CGUUCAUCCCCUCCAGUCAACGACGCCAGCUGAAGGUGACCGAAUUCCCCAGCUCGAAGACCAGCGGAGCCGCACGCCAGCGAAGCCCGUGAAUUCGUAUGCCUUCAGCCCAUCAAUUUCAGUCAUUCGGGCCCAGCAAAAUUCGGUCCAAUUGAGGGCCAUUUCAAGCCCAGCGAAGCCAGCAAUCUCGGCCCAAAUUUUCAGUCUUCAAGCCCAGCGAAUUUUAGUCUAGCUGGGCCCAAUCACCCAGCAGCUCAGCCACUUGAAGCCCGGCCCAGUUCAGUUUUGUUUCAAGUCCAUCUUCGGCCCAAGUCCAGCCCGCGAAGAGGCCCAAUCGCAGCAAGCCCAAGCCUAAGAGCGAGCCCAGUGCAGUGCAAGAACAAAUCUCAGUUGGGCUGAGAUUUGUUGGGCCAAGCUUAAGGCCCGGUCCAAGCCCGCCGGUGUUGUCGAAAGCCCGAUUUCGGCCGCCGUCGCGUCGCCGUCGCGGUGAUUCGGUCUCCGCUUUUUCCAAGUGAGUUUUAUUCACUAAUGCUUUCUUAGUUGGCUAAUUAUGCUUAAGGGUUGGUUAGACUUAAUGAUGCAUGUUAGGUGGUUAGACUUAAUCAUUAGCAAAUAGAGAGCUUCUAAUAAUUAUCGAAUGCAUCUCGGGAUUUUUCCCGAUUCGUUAUGGCGUCCAAUUCGGCAUUGCGGGCCUAAAUUGGAUUUUUAAUAUUUAUUUAUUUAAUUUUCGAAAUUAAUUAUUUAAUUAAUUAUUUUUCCGGAAAUUCAACCGAGGUGGCCGAUGACUGGAAUUUUAUGCUGAUGAUCGUGGUGCAGUCCAUUUAUUUAAUUAAGCUUUAUAUUGUGUUAAAUUGAAUUUAUUGUAUUUAGUUAUUUAUUUUCCGAAAUUAAUUAUUUAAUUAUUUAUUUCCCGGAAAUUCAACUGGGAUGGCCAGUGACCAAAAUUUUAUGCUGAUUGUCGUGGCGCAGUCUGUUUAUUUAAUUUAACUCUAUUUCAUGCUGAAUUGAAUUAUUUGUGAAAGAGGGAAUUAUUCUUUAAUUGGAUAAUCAUUGGUUAUUAAUUGAAAAAUAAUCAGGCAUCGAUUAAUAAUGCCAAAAAUAUUUGAGUGGACUAUAGAAAAUGUGGGAGUUAUGGAAAGGAAAAUAUUAUAUUUUGGCUAAGGCCAACCGUGUCCCCACACACGGCUAUUUUAUCGAGAAUGAUAAAAGAUGGAAUGGAUUGAAUGGUCGGAUAGUAUACUAUAUCAUCCUACGGGCUCUGAUAUGUCAGCUUAGCGAGAGCAGUAUACUGGUGUACUAUAUCAGCCUACGGGCGAUAUGUUAGCUUAGCGCGAGCAGUACACUUUAUCAACUUACUAUGAGCAUCAAGGAUAUAUUAUAUCAGCCUACGGACGAUAUGUCAGCUUAGCGAGAGCAGUAUACCGGUAUAUUAUAUUAACCUACGAGCGAUAUAUUGGUUUAGCGAGAGCAGUAUACCUUAACCCUAUCAGCUUAGUGCGAGCUAUACUAUCUAUAUAUCAGCUUAGAGUGAGCAGUCCUGGACUAUGGUCGGACUUAUAAAUAGUAUUAAAUGUGCCGACCAAGCAUGGGUCGUGAUGUCAUGUAAUCGACUAGGUCGAUUGAUCAUUACUUUGAUCUGAUGUUGUGAAUUGACUGAUUGAUUGGAAAUGACCAUGAGAUGGUCUGAUUGACAUGUAAUCGACUAGGUCGAUUUGAUCAAUGCUUCGAUCAGUAAUGUGAUUACUUGGGUGCCUACUGAACUGUGCUAAUAUGUAGGUGGAAUCUGAGGCCAAGGUAAGUCCUCUGACUCGUAUGUGUAUAGGUAGCCCGGUUAGCGUAUUAGUUUACUAAUCGAGUCUUAGGGGGUAGAACUUGCUGAGACGUGAUCUCAAUGGUUAUUGAAUAACCAUUUCAGGACCUUGAUGAGGAGCCUGAGGAGAAGGAACCUGAAGAGGAGAACCCUGAUGUGGAACCAAAUGAGGAGGAACAUUUUGGAGAAGAAGAUGACCACGAGAAGGAUCCUGAGUACGACCCGGAUGAGGACUGAGAUCCCAUCUUGUUUUGUCAGACCUUGAUAAUAUGUGGAGAAAUGUUAGAUCAGACCCUUGUGAAUAGUAUUACAUUACAUAUUAUGAGGUGCUUUGUGUAAAAGAGUGGUUGUGAAUUUCAGUAUGGAAAUUAUGGCCCUACUUUUCUAUCCCA
Molecule: long non-coding RNA, 2202 nt
Filed under: Eucalyptus grandis
Lineage: Eukaryota; Viridiplantae; Streptophyta; Magnoliopsida; Myrtales; Myrtaceae
Description: long non-coding RNA (EGRA_LNC003855)
Source: RNAcentral